RNAcentral lists this ribosomal RNA (504 nucleotides) under uncultured bacterium. RNAcentral describes it as "partial 16S ribosomal RNA". It matches the Rfam family "Bacterial small subunit ribosomal RNA", at positions 30 to 523 of the family's 1533-position model. The record is from RNAcentral.
AUUGAACGCUGGCGGCAGGCCUAACACAUGCAAGUCGAACGGUAGCACAGAGAGCUUGCUCUCGGGUGACGAGUGGCGGACGGGUGAGUAAUGUCUGGGAAACUGCCCGAUGGAGGGGGAUAACUACUGGAAACGGUAGCUAAUACCGCAUAACGUCGCAAGACCAAAGUGGGGGACCUUCGGGCCUCACACCAUCGGAUGUGCCCAGAUGGGAUUAGCUAGUAGGUGGGGUAAUGGCUCACCUAGGCGACGAUCCCUAGCUGGUCUGAGAGGAUGACCAGCCACACUGGAACUGAGACACGGUCCAGACACCUACGGGAGGCAGCAGUGGGGAAUAUUGCACAAUGGGCGCAAGCCUGAUGCAGCCAUGCCGCGUGUAUGAAGAAGGCCUUCGGGUUGUAAAGUACUUUCAGCGGGGAGGAAGGCGGUGAAGUUAAUAACUUCACCGAUUGACGUUACCCGCAGAAGAAGCACCGGCUAACUCUGUGCCAGCCGCCGCAGUAA